CUCGGACCAUGUUACUUCUACAUUUUGUAAUUCAGAAGUAGACAUUUCUCUGAAGAAAGAAGCAACCGAUGAUACUCUGUCCAAAGCUCAGGCCCUGACAGUUCUCCAUUUUGUGACUCAGAAACAAAUACCUAUCUAACGAAUGAGGCGACCAACGAUAUCGGGACAUCCUCUGUUGCUAGCUCAGGCCCUGUCACUUCUCCACUUCAUUUUUUGGAAACAGAUAACCCUUUGAAAAAAGUAGCAGGCAAUGAUAAUAUACAGCAUUUGCAUGUCAACAUAUCUGAUUUCCGAGACUGAAACUUCAACCCCUCCCAUAAACACGACUUUAUUGUAAUUGAUUUAGGAGCUCCAUUCGCCUUGACUGAAUGACAAUGGAAAUUGGAAAUUUUUUGAUAUACCUAUUCUGGAUUAAUUUGUCUGAUGUAUUUGAUUGUCUUUUGCCUAAAAUUUAUGUUGAGUUGUAAAUUUAAUUCCACUCACUAUGUAUGCCUUUGCUUAUGCUUAUGGUCCUGUUGCAUUACUAUUAUGUUUUGUUUUUCAAACAGAGUAAGCUUUUAAUCAUUCAUCGAAAUUGUUGGUGCAUGCUUCUUAACAAGGCAGGGCUGGCUUUGGUCACUCCCUGCUCAGACUCUCCGCUCUGCCAGUGCACGAGAGCGUGCAGUGGUUGCUGGAGCGUGUGAACUGUAUUUUUCUGUAUAUUUUACAGGGAGAGCUGAUAUAGCAGACGUCUAAGUAUUCAAACCAAGUUAAUUAAAUUCUCCCUUUAAGGUAUAAUUUACUUCAUUUUCUCUAUACCAAUUUGUUGAUAUAUGAACUUUCAGUUUGCAUAAAGUUUGGUGUUUUCCUUAGAUCGUUUUAUUAAUAUAUGGGUUCAUACAAUGGUGCACUCUUUUUUGCUUAGAAUAAUUGUUGUAGCUGAUGUGAGUUCCGUGGGCAAGUUCAGAUCCUAUGCAUCACUUAUGGGUUCAUACAAUGCUGCACUCUUUUUUGCUUAGAAUAAUUGUUGCAGAUGAUGUGAGUUUUGUGGGCAAGUUCAGAUCCUAGUCAUCGCUUCUCCUGGUAUUUAUGUUUCACACACCUCAGCAUAUUGUCUUAGUUAUUUAAUUUACAAGUUAUUUUUCAUUGGAAGUCAUAGCAAGAGAAACAUCGAUGUAUAUUGUCUUCAGUUAAUUCGAAGUAUAGGUUAUAUCUUAUUUCAACUUAUUAACGGCCCAACGUCUAUAAUUCAGAGACGAUUGGAUUUAAUGGGAAAGGGCUAAAUUAUUCGCCAUGUUUUUCCUUUUGUAAUUAUGGACUUUUGGACAUGUUUUUAUUGCAAGGGAACACCAUAAUAACUACCGUUAUAUGGCCACGCAGAAGAAUUUCGGUUGUAGGUUCAUUAUUAGAAUAUUAGCAAGCUAAGUUAAUAUGAGCUUGGGUAAAUUGCAGGUAUAUAUGGCGACAACGAGAUAUGGAGGGUGCCAACGAUGGACCUAGGGCCAGGAAACUCUUCAGCUUUCAGCAAGGAUGGACCAAAAAUCCAAAUAGUCACCUCGACAAUGCACAUUCAAGGCAGCCCCCUGACGUGGAUGUUUCCCAUGCUGACAAGAAGCGCAGACAACUCAAAAGAUGGCGUUUGUCCUGCUAGCGGUAGGCGUGGCAGGCCACCGGGACCUUGGCGCCGAGGGCAUGGAAUGUCCAUCGGUGUCUCCAAGAUGCGGCUUCCUCUCUGAUGCCUGUCUGCGGUCGCCGUCCUCGCUCUCAUUCCUGGAAACACAAUGGAAUGACACAUAGAAGGCAACUGUAUAGAUCAGUUCAAGGACCCGCUAAAAGAAGGUUCAGUAUAUACAAUAGAGAGCUUGAGGCACGCAAGAAAUACAUGAAAAUGGAUCAGCAAUAUAGAUUCAAAUUUACUCAGCGCAGAAAGGUGAAUGAAGUUGUCCCGGAGCCUCUAAACAUUCCCAUGUUUGUAUAUAAAAUGUAAAAUCCCUUUGGCAUUUUAGAGGAACGAGUUUACACUACAUGUCUUUCACUAUCUUUUUCUGUGGAUAUUGCCUUAAGUGAUACACAAAGAACACAUGCUACUUAUUGCUUCGAUUUCCUAGAGGAAAAGCUUAAAUAGUAUACAAUUGUUGCACAAGAUGUGUCUAAUGAUCUGCAAUUAUGCUCACUUAAUUAAGGAUGCCAGCUCCGCAUCUGAAAAUAAGAAAAGGAAGACCAAAGCAUUGCCUACUACAUCAAGCAAGAAGCAGAUCAACAAAGAGCUCCCUCUGGCUGAUAGGUAAACACCAGACUUCAAUACAAUUCAAAGAGAUGUAGCACCUU
RNA transcript from Lolium rigidum, 2307 nucleotides. RefSeq lists it as uncharacterized. The transcript is spliced from 3 exons. The record is from RefSeq and is a predicted model, not a curated record. NCBI's taxonomy places the organism in Eukaryota, Viridiplantae, Streptophyta, Magnoliopsida, Poales, Poaceae.